UGGGGAAUUUUGGACAAUGGGGGCAACCCUGAUCCAGCCAUCCCGCGUGUGCGAUGAAGGCCUUCGGGUUGUAAAGCACUUUUGGCAGGGAAGAAACAGCCUGGGAUAAUACCCCGGGCGACUGACGGUACCUGCAGAAUAAGCACCGGCUAACUACGUGCCAGCAGCCGCGGUAAUACGUAGGGUGCAAGCGUUAAUCGGAAUACUGGGCGUAAAGCGUGCGCAGGCGGUUCGGAAAGAAAGGUGUGAAAUCCCAGGGCUUAACCUUGGAACUNCACUUUUAACUACCGAGCUAGAGUACGUCAGAGGGGGGUAGAAUUCCACGUGUAGCAGUGAAAUGCGUAGAGAUGUGGAGGAAUACCGAUGGCGAAGGCAGCCCCCUGGGAUGAUACUGACGCUCAUGCACGAAAAGCGUGGGGAGCAAACAGGAUUAGAUACCCUGGUAGUCCACGCCCUAAACGAUG
This 464-nucleotide ribosomal RNA is filed under the name uncultured bacterium. RNAcentral describes it as "partial 16S ribosomal RNA". It matches the Rfam family "Bacterial small subunit ribosomal RNA", at positions 355 to 811 of the family's 1533-position model. The record is from RNAcentral.